Molecule: non-coding RNA, 85 nt
Organism: Lyophyllum atratum
Lineage: Eukaryota; Fungi; Basidiomycota; Agaricomycetes; Agaricales; Lyophyllaceae
Source: the annotation of a GenBank genome assembly
GCAUUGGUAGUGUAACGGUUAUCAUUGGGUCUUCCCAUCAGAAAUGAAGCUGGCCUAGAUCCGGGUUCGACUCCCGGCCAAUGCA